GUCCGGGUGGCGGAAUUGGCAGACGCGCUAGCUUGAGGUGCUAGUCCCCUCACGGGGAUGGGGGUUCAAGUCCCCCCUCGGACACGA
RNAcentral lists this transfer RNA (87 nucleotides) under Nostocoides jenkinsii Ben 74. RNAcentral describes it as "Tetrasphaera jenkinsii Ben 74 tRNA-Leu". It matches the Rfam family "tRNA". Rfam says of the family: Transfer RNA (tRNA) molecules are approximately 80 nucleotides in length. The record is from RNAcentral. Lineage: Bacteria; Bacillati; Actinomycetota; Actinomycetes; Micrococcales; Intrasporangiaceae.